Non-coding RNA from Caenorhabditis elegans, 21 nucleotides. The record is from Ensembl. Lineage: Eukaryota; Metazoa; Nematoda; Chromadorea; Rhabditida; Rhabditidae.
UAUUGUUACUUAACCUUUGAA